CACGUAGGGUGCGAGCGUUGUCCGGAAUUAUUGGGCGUAAAGGGCUCGUAGGCGGUUUGUCGCGUCGGGAGUGAAAACCAGGUGCUUAACACCUGGCUUGCUUUCGAUACGGGCAGACUAGAGUGCGGUAGGGGUGACUGGAAUUCCUGGUGUAGCGGUGGAAUGCGCAGAUAUCAGGAGGAACACCGGUGGCGAAGGCGGGUCUCUGGGCCGAUACUGACGCUGAGGAGCGAAAGCGUGGGGAGCGAACAGG
RNAcentral lists this ribosomal RNA (253 nucleotides) under uncultured bacterium. Its description in RNAcentral is "partial 16S ribosomal RNA". It matches the Rfam family "Bacterial small subunit ribosomal RNA", at positions 524 to 776 of the family's 1533-position model. The record is from RNAcentral.